GAGUUUGAUCAUGGCUCAGAUUGAACGCUGGCGGCAGGCCUAACACAUGCAAGUCGAACGGUAACAGGAAGCAGCUUGCUGCUUCGCUGACGAGUGGCGGACGGGUGAGUAAUGUCUGGGAAACUGCCUGAUGGAGGGGGAUAACUACUGGAAACGGUAGCUAAUACCGCAUAAUGUCGCAAGACCAAAGAGGGGGACCUUCGGGCCUCUUGCCAUCGGAUGUGCCCAGAUGGGAUUAGCUUGUUGGUGGGGUAACGGCUCACCAAGGCGACGAUCCCUAGCUGGUCUGAGAGGAUGACCAGCCACACUGGAACUGAGACACGGUCCAGACUCCUACGGGAGGCAGCAGUGGGGAAUAUUGCACAAUGGCGCAAGCCUGAUGCAGCCAUGCCGCGUGUAUGAAGAAGGCCUUC
RNAcentral lists this ribosomal RNA (413 nucleotides) under uncultured bacterium. RNAcentral's name for it is "bacterial SSU rRNA". It matches the Rfam family "Bacterial small subunit ribosomal RNA", at positions 9 to 419 of the family's 1533-position model. The record is from RNAcentral.